Leptonychotes weddellii (Weddell seal) is the source of this 583-nucleotide non-coding RNA. The record is from RefSeq and is a predicted model, not a curated record. Lineage: Eukaryota; Metazoa; Chordata; Mammalia; Carnivora; Phocidae.
UAGCUGGGCCUCCCAAGCCCGGCUCCGCUCCGCACGGCAGGCCUGCCUCUGCACGGCAGGUCCCGCACCGCAGCCACCGCCGCCACCAACACCGCUGUUGCUGCUGCUGCUGCUCCUGCUUCUUCGCUUCCAGCAGCGGGUGGAGCGAUGGAGUCCAGACUCCUCUGCUGGACCAUUUGCUUUCUCCUGGUCGUGUGGUGCCUGCCAGUGCUACCCUGCCCUAGCCGGUGCCUUUGCUUGAAGAGCACCGUCCGCUGCAUGCACUUGAUGCUGGAUCACAUUCCUCAGGUGCCGCAGCAGACCACAGUCCUCAGAUUUGAACAAUGAAAUCCUGGCCAGGGCCUGAGAACGUCAUCAGGCUGAAGUUGUUACCCCCCCAGUCCUUGGGUGCUCUCUUGCUGUCUCAGAAAGACUGUUCAUUUUAUGACCUUCAAGUCCUGCACAGUUGUUUCUAAAAGGGGAUCAUUUUGAGUGACUGCAUGUCAUGUCUAUGCAGUGUGCAUGGUACCUCGUGGCUAGAAUGGACUGUAUACUUGUGAUAUGAUUCCAGUCACACUUGGAAUAAAAUCCUAUUGAAGACAUA